UCUACGGGAGGCAGCAGUGGGGAAUAUUGGGCAAUGGAGGAAACUCUGACCCAGCAACGCCGCGUGAAGGAUGAAGGUUUUCGGAUUGUAAACUUCUGUCGCGAGGGAUGAAGAAUGACGGUACCUCGUAAGAAAGCCCCGGCAAACUACGUGCCAGCAGCCGCGGUAAUACGUAGGGGGCGAGCGUUGUCCGGAAUGACUGGGCGUAAAGGGAGUGUAGGCGGCAUAUUAAGUUAUGUGUGAAAGCCCGCGGCUCAACCGCGGAAUUGCACAUAAAACUGGUAAGCUGGAGUGCAGGAGAGGUAAGUGGAAUUCCCGGUGUAGCGGUGACAUGCAUAGAUAUCACGCAGAACUCCGAGUGCGAAGGCAGCAUACCGGCGCCCAACUGACGCUGAAGCACGAAAGCGUGGGUAUCGAACAGGAUUAGAUACCCGUGUAGUC
Molecule: ribosomal RNA, 441 nt
Filed under: uncultured bacterium
Lineage: Bacteria
Description: partial 16S ribosomal RNA
Rfam family: Bacterial small subunit ribosomal RNA
Source: RNAcentral